AUCUUCAGAAACUUCGCGUUUGUACGGGACAACGGUAGACAAUUUCAUGGAAUGCUCCUUGUGCUGUACAAAAUGUUUCCAGUUGGAUUUUUUUACAACAGUGAAAGCCUGUGUGGAUUGCUUGACAAUCGCCGCACUAAUAGUAUUGCCUUAAUUCUAUUCAUUUUACAGAUAUCUAAAUUUUUGCAACAAAUAUUGAGUUUUCUUUGUUUUACAAAUUAUACCUAAGUGGACAUUUCUAUCUAUUAAUGCUGACUCGAUAUAUCUAUUUCAUUUCUCUAUGUAAAA
Molecule: long non-coding RNA, 288 nt
Organism: Cydia fagiglandana
Lineage: Eukaryota; Metazoa; Arthropoda; Insecta; Lepidoptera; Tortricidae
Exons: 2
Source: RefSeq, a predicted model, not a curated record